Molecule: long non-coding RNA, 248 nt
Organism: Eurytemora carolleeae
Lineage: Eukaryota; Metazoa; Arthropoda; Copepoda; Calanoida; Temoridae
Exons: 3
Source: RefSeq, a predicted model, not a curated record
AGAAAAGGGACAUCUUGAUGAUAAAAAACUAUGGAACAAACUCAUACGAUCAUCGUGGCUUCGUGAAUACAGAAAGAAAUCGGUCCGCCAUUUUGUUCGGAUGAAAUAAUUACAAAAAUGGAAUAAAAUGAAAAAGAGGCCCUUGUGAAUAUUUUGAGGCUGGAAAUAUAUCUGUAAUUCUUAACAAUUAUAAAUUAUAUUGCAAAAUUUUAAUUAUAUUCUAAUUUCUUUAUAAUAUACAUCACAAA